This is a non-coding RNA of Macaca mulatta (Rhesus monkey), 618 nucleotides long. The record is from RefSeq and is a predicted model, not a curated record. NCBI's taxonomy places the organism in Eukaryota, Metazoa, Chordata, Mammalia, Primates, Cercopithecidae.
GGAGUUCCUAAUGAGACAGAGGCUGAGCAGAGCUAUGUAAGGUAUCUGGGGCUUGGCCUCCCAGCCUCCCUAGCUUGGCUGUUUUUCUACUCUCGCGCGUGCGUGUGUGUGUGUGUGUGUGUGUGUGAGUGAGUGUGUGCGCCUCUGCUCUUUGUCCUGAGCCCACGAUUCCAGAGCUGGCUGGACCCAAGGAGGUGAAGAGUCACUUCUCCGCCCCAGGAAGGGCAAAGAAGAGAGACAAAAUCAGCCUGUCUGCUCCCUGCUUGGCUCAAUAAGGCCUCUAAUAGUCUUCUGUCCUUUCUUCUGCACACGGCAUAUUUGGGAACAAGAAACAAAAAUUUUUCCAAAUGAAGAGAACUCACUUGUUUAUUGUGGGGGUUUAUUUUCUGUCCUCUUGCAGGGCAGAAGAGGGGCUUAAUUUCCCCACAUAUGAUGGGAAGGACCGAGUGGUAAGUCUUUCCGAGAAGAACUUCAAGCAGGUUUUAAAGAAAUAUGACUUGCUCUGCCUCUACUACCACGAGCCGGUGUCUUCAGAUAAGGUCGCGCAAAAACAGUUCCAACUGAAAGAAAUCGUGCUUGAGCGCAGGCAAAUAUCCCAGUGGUUGCAUUUCCAAACCC